UAACACGUAGGGGGCAAGCGUUGUCCGGAUUUAUUGGGCGUAAAGAGCUCGUAGGCGGCUCGGUAAGUCGGGUGUGAAACCUCCAGGCUCAACCUGGAGACGCCACUUGAUACUGCCGUGGCUAGAGUCCGGUAGGGGAGCACGGAAUUCCUGGUGUAGCGGUGAAAUGCGCAGAUAUCAGGAGGAACACCAGCGGCGAAGGCGGUGCUCUGGGCCGGAACUGACGCUGAGGAGCGAAAGCGUGGGGAGCAAACAGG
RNAcentral lists this ribosomal RNA (257 nucleotides) under uncultured archaeon. RNAcentral describes it as "partial 16S ribosomal RNA". It matches the Rfam family "Bacterial small subunit ribosomal RNA", at positions 521 to 776 of the family's 1533-position model. The record is from RNAcentral.